AACGCGAAGAACCUUACCCAGGUUUGACAUCCUUGGAAUUUUGCCGAAAGGCAAGAGUGCUUUAUUGAGCCAAGUGACAGGUGAUGCAUGGCCGUCGUCAGCUCGUGUCGUGAGAUGUUUGGUUAAGUCCAUCAACGAGCGCAACCCUUGUGAUUAGUUGAAUUUUUCUAAUCAGACUGCCCUGGUAACAGGGAGGAAGGAGGGGAUGAUGUCAGGUCCGUAUUUCCCUUAUAUCUGGGGCUACAAACACGCUACAAUGGCCGGUACAAAGGGCAGCCAAGUCGCAAGACGGAGCAAAUCCCAUCAAAGCCGGUCCCAGUUCGGAUAGCAGGCUGAAACUCGCCUGCUUGAAGUCGGAAUCGCUAGUAACGGUAGGUCAGCUAUACUACCGUGAAUACGUUCCCGGGCCUUGUACACACCGUGUCGA
RNAcentral lists this ribosomal RNA (427 nucleotides) under uncultured bacterium. Its description in RNAcentral is "bacterial SSU rRNA". It matches the Rfam family "Bacterial small subunit ribosomal RNA", at positions 958 to 1400 of the family's 1533-position model. The record is from RNAcentral.